UCCAGUAUUCCUGAUACAGGCCUGGGAGUGUUUAAUAAGGGGGAGACUGUUCCAGUAGGUGCACACUUUGGACCCUGCCAGGUAGAGCUGGUAAACAGAGAGGAAGCCAGGAACAGUGGAGACUCCUCGGUUGUAUACAGGAGCAUGCAGUGUGAAGAAUACAUCGAUGCCAAAAGAGAGAUGCAUGUGAAUUGGAUGAGGUAUGUGAAUUGUGCCCGCAAUGAAGAAGAACAGAAUCUUGUGGCAUUUCGGUAUCGAGGGGGAAUUCUGUAUCGUUGCUGUCGACCCAUUAACCCAGGACAGGAGCUCUUUGUGUGGUAU
This is a long non-coding RNA of Neoarius graeffei (lesser salmon catfish), 321 nucleotides long. RefSeq lists it as uncharacterized. The record is from RefSeq and is a predicted model, not a curated record. NCBI's taxonomy places the organism in Eukaryota, Metazoa, Chordata, Actinopteri, Siluriformes, Ariidae. The transcript is spliced from 3 exons.